Molecule: ribosomal RNA, 453 nt
Filed under: uncultured bacterium
Lineage: Bacteria
Description: bacterial SSU rRNA
Rfam family: Bacterial small subunit ribosomal RNA
Source: RNAcentral
GACGAACGCUGGCGGCGUGCCUAACACAUGCAAGUCGAACGGAGUUCCUUCGGGGACUUAGUGGCGAACGGGUGAGUAACGCGUGAAGAACCUGCCUUUCAGUGGGGGACAACAGUUGGAAACGACUGCUAAUACCGCAUAAUGUUAUUUGGGGGCAUCCUCGAAUAACCAAAGAUUUAUUGCUGAAAGAUGGCUUCGCGUCUGAUUAGCUAGUUGGUGGGUAACGGCCCACCAAGGCGACGAUCAGUAGCCGGACUGAGAGGUUGACCGGCCACAUUGGGACUGAGAUACGGCCCAGACUCCUACGGGAGGCAGCAGUGAGGAAUAUUGGGCAAUGGGCGCAAGCCUGACCCAGCAAUGCCGCGUGAAGGAAGACGGUUUUCGGAUUGUAAACUUCUUUUAAGAGGGACGAUAAUGACGGUACCUCUUGAAUAAGCCACGGCUAACUACGUG